UAGCUGAGUUGGUAGAGCAUGGUGUUUGCAACGCCAGGGUUGUGGGUUCGAUUCCCAC
RNAcentral lists this transfer RNA (58 nucleotides) under Salmo salar (Atlantic salmon). It matches the Rfam family "tRNA", at positions 8 to 63 of the family's 71-position model. Rfam says of the family: Transfer RNA (tRNA) molecules are approximately 80 nucleotides in length. Their secondary structure includes four short double-helical elements and three loops (D, anti-codon, and T loops). The record is from Rfam by way of RNAcentral. RNAcentral also lists the same sequence under 1 other name. Lineage: Eukaryota; Metazoa; Chordata; Actinopteri; Salmoniformes; Salmonidae.